Perognathus longimembris pacificus (Pacific pocket mouse) is the source of this 84-nucleotide long non-coding RNA. RefSeq lists it as uncharacterized. NCBI's taxonomy places the organism in Eukaryota, Metazoa, Chordata, Mammalia, Rodentia, Heteromyidae. The transcript has 3 exons. The record is from RefSeq and is a predicted model, not a curated record.
AAAAAAAAUGUAUCUGAGGAUUUAGCACAGUGGAAGAGCACUUCCCUGGCAAGCACAAGGCCCUGAGUUCAGUCAUCAGCUCUG